This 227-nucleotide long non-coding RNA is filed under the name Olea europaea (common olive). Its description in RNAcentral is "long non-coding RNA (OEUR_LNC005132)". The record is from RNAcentral. Lineage: Eukaryota; Viridiplantae; Streptophyta; Magnoliopsida; Lamiales; Oleaceae.
AUCGCUUAUGCCACAACAUAGAUGAUGAUUCACGAAUUAAAGUCCUUUUCUUUGAUACAUUUGUAACACACGAGACAUCACCAAAAGAAGCCAAAGACAAUUUAUAUGAAUCAUCACAUAAAAUGUCAUUCCCAAUCAAACAAGAAUCAUUAAAUAACUUAACCAUUCCAUUACCAAAAUUAAAUGUAAAACCACAAGCAUCAAGUUUUGGUAUAGAAAUUAAAUUC